Molecule: ribosomal RNA, 467 nt
Filed under: uncultured bacterium
Lineage: Bacteria
Description: partial 16S ribosomal RNA
Rfam family: Bacterial small subunit ribosomal RNA
Source: RNAcentral
GACGAACGCUGGCGGCGUGCUUAACACAUGCAAGUCGAACGGAAAGGCCUCUUUCGGGGGGUACUCGAGUGGCGAACGGGUGAGUAACACGUGAGUAACCUGCCCUUGACUUUGGGAUAACUUCAGGAAACUGGGGCUAAUACCGGAUAGGAGCUCCUGCUGCAUGGUGGGGGUUGGAAAGUUUCGGCGGUUGGGGAUGGACUCGCGGCUUAUCAGCUUGUUGGUGGGGUAGUGGCUUACCAAGGCUUUGACGGGUAGCCGGCCUGAGAGGGUGACCGGCCACAUUGGGACUGAGAUACGGCCCAGACUCCUACGGGAGGCAGCAGUGGGGAAUAUUGCACAAUGGGUGGAAGCCUGAUACAGCAACGCCGUGUGCGGGAUGACGGCCUUCGGGUUGUAAACCGCUUUCGCUCAUGACGAAGCUUUGUGUGACGGUAGUGGGUAAAGAAGCACCGGCUAACUACGUG